AUGGUUGUCGUCAGCUCGUGUCGUGAGAUGUUGGGUUAAGUCCCCGCAACGAGCGCAACCCUCGUCCUAUGUUGCCAGCGGGUCAUGCCGGGGACUCAUGGGAGACUGCCGGGGUCAACUCGGAGGAAAGGUGGGGGAUGACGUCAAAUCAUCGUGCCCCUUAUGUCUUGGGCUUCACGCAUGCUACAAUGGCCGGUACAAAGGGCUGCGAUACCGCGAGGUGGAGCGAAUCCCAGAAAGCCGGUCUCAGUUCGGAUUGGGGUCUGCAACUCGACCCCAUGAAGUCGGAGUCGCUAGUAAUCGCAGAUCAGCAACGCUGCGGUGAAUACGUUCCCGGGCCUU
RNAcentral lists this ribosomal RNA (342 nucleotides) under uncultured Cellulomonas sp. RNAcentral describes it as "bacterial SSU rRNA". It matches the Rfam family "Bacterial small subunit ribosomal RNA", at positions 1045 to 1382 of the family's 1533-position model. Lineage: Bacteria; Bacillati; Actinomycetota; Actinomycetes; Micrococcales; Cellulomonadaceae. The record is from RNAcentral.